UGAUAUAUACACACUGAUACAGAUGCAGGCACCCACAGAUUUGAAGGAUUUCUGAAUUUACAGCACGCGCAACUAACUGUUUAAUUAUGUAGAAAAAAAUAGAUGUAAAAGAAGUUUAAUGCCAAAUAACAGUGAAAUCUGGCUCUUGAGAACUUUGGCCUGGAACAUGAGUCUGAGCAACAGAAAUGCCGGAUUUACAGCACGUUGAAGGAACAUCUGCUAUCAAUGCCAUUGCAAGAUCAUUACUGCCAUUAAAGGGUGUGGCCACUUGGAAUUUAGGCAAGACUUCAGACGCUUCUGGCAUAGCACAGCACAGCCAGCUGGAAUAAACCAUGAAGGAAAAGGAUCUUGGACAAAAGUACCAGGCAGCCUCAGAGGAAGACCCUCCAGAGAAAGCUCACGAGCUACCUCCAUUACACUGAGGGAAAAAGCAACACUCACCCAGAUGAUGUCACAAGAGUCCUGUAUGAGCAAACAGAGCACCCCAACCUGGAUCACACCUGGCGAACGGGGUAAAAUCCUCCAGCAGAGCCACACAACUCUUCCCCUGCUCAAAGGCAGACAGCACCAGGAAGGUUCAAGCCUCCAGAUUCCUCAAACAUGAGCCUGCUAUCUCUGCAACACUCUCGGGCUGACUACAUUAGAAACAAGAGAACUCCACAAAACACUCUCAUGUAAUUCCUCACAUCAUUACUGAUGGACUAACCAAGCCAUCUCAGAGAAUUCCCCCGUUCAUUUAGCUUUCUGUAAAAUAUCCAGCCCUUACAGUGCAAGAACAAUACAAAUGGAUAAUCAGGGGUAUUGAUUUCAUAAUGAUUAAUGGAUAUUGUACGGUAUCUUUUUGCACUCUGCGUUCCUUACACAGCCAAGGCUCCCAAUAACGUCACAGGGAGUUUCUCAAGUGAAGAAUGCUGGACUAGGUAACUGUUUUUGCACUUCAGGGCAUCUUGUUCCAUUUGUUUUGUGCAUAAUAAAAGCUCAUACUUGUACAGUAAUUUAGCAUUUCUGAAUAAACAGAAAUUGUGAUUCAUAAUUCUCCAUCUUCUUGUCCUCAUUUCUUAAAAAAAAAUAAAUGAGUCACUGUUGUUUAAUCCGAUAAUUAUGCAAACACUAAAUCUUACACUGGAGGAGAAAAUGUUAACACAUAUUGAAAAACCAAAAUGCAUAGAACUAUAAUCUGUAUGAUAAAAUGCAUUACUCUGUUUAAAAGGAUUGUUUUACAGAAGCAAUUAACA
RNAcentral lists this long non-coding RNA (1235 nucleotides) under Ficedula albicollis (Collared flycatcher). RNAcentral describes it as "lncRNA (ENSFALG00000023454.1)". Lineage: Eukaryota; Metazoa; Chordata; Aves; Passeriformes; Muscicapidae. The record is from RNAcentral.